UGGUACAGCAAGGACGGGUAGUGA
Molecule: non-coding RNA, 24 nt
Filed under: Mus musculus (house mouse)
Lineage: Eukaryota; Metazoa; Chordata; Mammalia; Rodentia; Muridae
Source: RNAcentral